CCAAUAUUUGCAGCUUCCUUCUCAAGAUCUUUACAAGAACAUAACUUAGACAUUUUGAAACUUCCUGCUGAACUGCUAUCAUGUGGAGAAAUCAAAUAAGAAUUUUAAAAAUCUUUUUUUUUCCUCUCUCUCAAAUGAGAUAGAUACAGGGAAUUAUUCUUGUGGAAAUACAGGCAGACCAGGAAUCUUCCACCAAAGACUGGGAAGCCUGGAAGCCCAAAGACCCCAAAGACCUCCACAGAUUUCCAAAGGUUCUGAAGUCAGAAGCUCUGAGCCUAGGGCUUCCACGGUGGGAGGUGGCAGUUUUUCAGAUGGAUAUCUGUUAUGAAAGACCAGCAGGAGUAUGAAAAAGACAUGAAAAAGAGGAGGUAGAAAAAGUGGCAAAAAAUCCAAGAGGAAUAGGAACUUGC
This 410-nucleotide long non-coding RNA is filed under the name Parus major (Great Tit). RNAcentral's name for it is "lncRNA (ENSPMJG00000011502.1)". Lineage: Eukaryota; Metazoa; Chordata; Aves; Passeriformes; Paridae. The record is from RNAcentral.